AGUGAACGCUGGCGGUAGGCCUAACACAUGCGAGUCGAACGGCAGCACAGUAAGAGCUUGCUCUUACGGGUGGCGAGUGGCGGACGGGUGAGGAAUACAUCGGAAUCUACUUUUUCGUGGGGGAUAACGUAGGGAAACUUACGCUAAUACCGCAUACGACCUACGGGUGAAAGCAGGGGAUCUUCGGACCUUGCGCGAUUGAAUGAGCCGAUGUCGGAUUAGCUAGUUGGCGGGGUAAAGGCCCACCAAGGCGACGAUCCGUAGCUGGUCUGAGAGGAUGAUCAGCCACACUGGAACUGAGACACGGUCCAGACUCCUACGGGAGGCAGCAGUGGGGAAAAUUGGACAAUGGGCGCAAGCCUGAUCCAGCCAUACCGCGUGGGUGAAGAAGGCCUUCGGGUUGUAAAGCCCUUUUGUUGGGAAAGAAAAGCAGCAGGUUAAUACCCCGCUGUUCUGACGGUACCCAAAGAAUAAGCACCGGCUAACUUCGUG
RNAcentral lists this ribosomal RNA (492 nucleotides) under uncultured bacterium. RNAcentral's name for it is "partial 16S ribosomal RNA". It matches the Rfam family "Bacterial small subunit ribosomal RNA", at positions 29 to 507 of the family's 1533-position model. The record is from RNAcentral.